This is a long non-coding RNA of Clupea harengus (Atlantic herring), 426 nucleotides long. Lineage: Eukaryota; Metazoa; Chordata; Actinopteri; Clupeiformes; Clupeidae. The record is from Ensembl.
GUGUGGGUAUACUGAGGUGUGUGUGUAUACUGAGGUGUUUGUAUACUGAGGUGUGUGUGUAUACUGAGGUGUGUGUAUGUCAUGCUGAGGUGUGUGUUUGCCAAGGUGUGUGUAUGCUGAGGUGUGUGUAUACUGAGGUGUGUGUGUGUGUAUGCCAUGCUGAGGUGUGUGUAUGCCAUGCUGAGAUGUGUGUAUGCCAUGCUGAGAUGUGUGUGUAUGCUGAGGUGUGUGUAUACUGAGGUGUGUGUGUGUAUGCCAUGCUGAGGUGUGUGUAUGCCAUGCUGAGAUGUGUGUGUAUGCCAUGCUGAGGUGUGUUUGGCCACCAGACUGGGUGUCAGCAGAGGGAUCACUGACUGCACAAAACAAAACCACAUUAGCAUUCAUUCAUGUAGCAGACAUUAUUAUCUAAAGCAACUAUCAGUACAG